CCUACGGGAGGCAGCAGUGAGGAAUAUUGGACAAUGGGCGCAAGCCUGAUCCAGCCAUGCCGCGUGCAGGAAGAAGCAUCUAUGGUGUGUAAACUGCUUUUGUACAGGAAGAAACACUCCCUCGUGAGGGAGCUUGACGGUACUGUAAGAAUAAGGACCGGCUAACUCCGUGCCAGCAGCCGCGGUAAUACGGAGGGUCCGAGCGUUAUCCGGAAUCAUUGGGUUUAAAGGGUCCGUAGGCGGUUUAAUAAGUCAGUGGUGAAAUCUGGUCGCUCAACGAUCAAACGGCCAUUGAUACUGUUAGACUUGAAUUAUAAGGAAGUAACUAGAAUAUGUAGUGUAGCGGUGAAAUGCUUAGAUAUUACAUGGAAUACCAAUUGCGAAGGCAGGUUACUACUUAUGGAUUGACGCUGAUGGACGAAAGCGUGGGGAGCGAACAGGAUUAGAUACCCUGGUAGUCCACGCCGUAAACGAUGGAUACUAGCUGUUCGGAGCAAUCUGGAGUGNGUAGACGAAGUAGAUAAGUAAUACCCACCGUACGGGGUAGGUACGGUUCGUCGAAGAAGUAGAAACGUAACGAAAGGAAAGUUAGUACGGCGUGAGACGUAGACCGACGGACGACGACGAGGGGAGGUUAGG
Molecule: ribosomal RNA, 639 nt
Filed under: uncultured bacterium
Lineage: Bacteria
Description: bacterial SSU rRNA
Rfam family: Bacterial small subunit ribosomal RNA (bases 1-536)
Source: RNAcentral